This 497-nucleotide ribosomal RNA is filed under the name uncultured bacterium. Its description in RNAcentral is "partial 16S ribosomal RNA". It matches the Rfam family "Bacterial small subunit ribosomal RNA", at positions 28 to 507 of the family's 1533-position model. The record is from RNAcentral.
GAUGAACGCUGGCGGCGUGCCUAAUACAUGCAAGUCGAGCGAACAGACGAGGAGCUUGCUCCUCUGACGUUAGCGGCGGACGGGUGAGUAACACGUGGAUAACCUACCUAUAAGACUGGGAUAACUUCGGGAAACCGGAGCUACUACCGGAUAAUAUAUUGAACCGCAUGGUUCAAUAGUGAAAGACGGUUUUGCUGUCACUUAUAGAUGGAUCCGCGCCGCAUUAGCUAGUUGGUAAGGUAACGGCUUACCAAGGCAACGAUGCGUAGCCGACCUGAGAGGGUGAUCGGCCACACUGGAACUGAGACACGGUCCAGACUCCUACGGGAGGCAGCAGUAGGGAAUCUUCCGCAAUGGGCGAAAGCCUGACGGAGCAACGCCGCGUGAGUGAUGAAGGUCUUCGGAUCGUAAAGCUCUGUUAUUAGGGAAGAACAGAUGUGUAAGUAACUAUGCACGUCUUGACGGUACCUAAUCAGAAAGCCACGGCUAACUACGUG